GACGAACGCUGGCGGCGUGCUUAACACAUGCAAGUCGAACGGAAAGGCCCUGCUUUUGUGGGGUGCUCGAGUGGCGAACGGGUGAGUAACACGUGAGUAACCUGCCCUUGACUUUGGGAUAACUUCAGGAAACUGGGGCUAAUACCGGAUAGGAGCUCCUGCUGCACGGUGGGGGUUGGAAAGUUUCGGCGGUUGGGGAUGGACUCGCGGCUUAUCCGCUUGUUGGGGGGGUAGUGGCUUACCAAGGCUUUGACGGGUAGCCGGCCUGAGAGGGUGACCGGCCACAUUGGGACUGAGGUACGGCCCAGACUCCUACGGGAGGCAGCAGUGGGGAAUAUUGCACAGUGGGCGGAAGCCUGAUGCAGCAACGCCGCGUGCGGAAUGACGGCCUUCGGGUUGUAAACCGCUUUCGCCUGUGACGAAGCGUGAGUGACGGUAAUGGGUAAAGAAGCACCGGCUAACUACGUG
Molecule: ribosomal RNA, 468 nt
Filed under: uncultured bacterium
Lineage: Bacteria
Description: partial 16S ribosomal RNA
Rfam family: Bacterial small subunit ribosomal RNA
Source: RNAcentral